CGGCGGACGGGUGAGUAAUGCCUAGGAAUCUGCCUGGUAGUGGGGGACAACGUUUCGAAAGGAACGCUAAUACCGCAUACGUCCUACGGAGAAAGCAGGGGACCUUCGGGCCUUGCGCUAUCAGAUGAGCCUAGGUCGGAUUAGCUAGUUGGUGAGGUAAUGGCUCACCAAGGCGACGAUCCGUAACUGGUCUGAGAGGAUGAUCAGUCACACUGGAACUGAGACACGGUCCAGACUCCUACGGGAGGCAGCAGA
This 255-nucleotide ribosomal RNA is filed under the name uncultured Pseudomonas sp. Its description in RNAcentral is "partial 16S ribosomal RNA". It matches the Rfam family "Bacterial small subunit ribosomal RNA", at positions 96 to 354 of the family's 1533-position model. Lineage: Bacteria; Pseudomonadati; Pseudomonadota; Gammaproteobacteria; Pseudomonadales; Pseudomonadaceae. The record is from RNAcentral.